UUUUUUUUAAAUUUAUUUACCGAUUAAGUGCACGUGUCCGCGGCAUUUUUUUUAAAUUUAUUUAUCGAUUAGCACGUGUCCGCGCCAUUUUUUUAAUUUACCGAUUUAGUGCACGUGUCCGCGCGAUUUUUUAAAUUUAUUUACCGAUUAAGUGCACGUGUCCGCGCCAUUUUUUUUAAAUUUAUUUAUCGAUUAGCACGUGUCCGCGCCAUUUUUUUAAUUUACCGAUUUAGUGCACGUGUCCGCGCGAUUUUUUAAAUUUAUUUACCGAUUAAGUGCACGUGUCCGCGCCAUUUUUUUUAAAUUUAUUUAUCGAUUAGCACGUGUCCGCGCCAUUUUUUUAAUUUACCGAUUUAGUGCACGUGUCCGCGCGAUUUUUUAAAUUUAUUUACCGAUUAAGUGCACGUGUCCGCGCCAUUUUUUUUAAAUUUAUUUAUCGAUUAGCACGUGUCCGCGCCAUUUUUUUAAUUUACCGAUUUAGUGCACGUGUCCGCGCGAUUUUUUAAAUUUAUUUACCGAUUAAGUGCACGUGUCCGCGCCAUUUUUUUUAAAUUUAUUUAUCGAUUAGCACGUGUCCGCGCCAUUUUUUUAAUUUACCGAUUUAGUGCACGUGUCCGCGCGAUUUUUUAAAUUUAUUUACCGAUUAAGUGCACGUGUCCGCGCCAUUUUUUUUAAAUUUAUUUAUCGAUUAGCACGUGUCCGCGCCAUUUUUUUAAUUUACCGAUUUAGUGCACGUGUCCGCGCGAUUUUUUAAAUUUAUUUACCGAUUAAGUGCACGUGUCCGCGCCAUUUUUUUUAAAUUUAUUUACCGAUUAACACGUGUCCGCGCCAUUUUUUUAAUUUACCGAUUUAGUGCACGUGUCCGCGCGAUUUUUUAAAUUUAUUUACCGUUCAAGUGCACGUGUCCGCGCCAUUUUUUUUUAAAUUUAUUUACCGAUUAAGUGCACGUGUCCGCGCGAUUUUUUAAAUUUAUUUACCGAUUAAGUGCACGUGUCCGCGGCAUUUUUUUUAAAUUUAUUUAUCGAUUAGCACGUGUCCGCGCCAUUUUUUUUAUUUACCGAUUUAGUGCACGUGUCCGCGCGAUUUUUUAAAUUUAUUCACCGAUUAAGUGCACGUGUCCGCGCCAUUUUUUUAAAAUUUAUUUACCGAUUAGCACGUGUCCGCGCCAUUUUUUUUAUUUACCGAUUUAGUGCACGUGUCCGCGCGAUUUUUUAAAUUUAUUUACCGUUCAAGUGCACGUGUCCGCGCCAUUUUUUUUUAAAUUUAUUUACCGAUUAAGUGCACGUGUCCGCGCGAUUUUUUAAAUUUAUUUACCGAUUAAGUGCACGUGUCCGCGGCAUUUUUUUUAAAUUUAUUUAUCGAUUAGCACGUGUCCGCGCCAUUUUUUUUAUUUACCGAUUUAGUGCACGUGUCCGCGCGAUUUUUUAAAUUUAUUCACCGAUUAAGUGCACGUGUCCGCGCCAUUUUUUUAAAAUUUAUUUACCGAUUAGCACGUGUCCGCGCCAUUUUUUUAAUUUACCGAUUUAGUGCACGUGUCCGCGCGAUUUUUUAAAUGUAUUUACCGUUCAAGUGCACGUGUCCGCGCCAUUUUUUUUAUUUACCGAUUUAGUGCACGUGUCCGCGCGAUUUUUUAAAUUUAUUUACCGUUUAAGUGCACGUGUCCGUGCCAUUUUUUUAUUUACCGAUUUAGUGCACGUGUCCGCGCGAUUUUUUAAAUUUAUUUACCGAUUAAGUGCACGUGUCCGCGCCAUUUUUUUUAAAUUUAUUUAUCGAUUAGCACGUGUCCGCGCCAUUUUUUUAAUUUACCGAUUUAGUGCACGUGUCCGCGCGAUUUUUUAAAUUUAUUUACCGUUCAAGUGCACGUGUCCGCGCCAUUUUUUUUUAAAUUUAUUUACCGAUUAAGUGCACGUGUCCGCGGCAUUUUUUUUAAAUUUAUUUAUCGAUUAGCACGUGUCCGCGCCAUUUUUUUUAUUUACCGAUUUAGUGCACGUGUCCGCGCGAUUUUUUAAAUUUAUUUACCGUUCAAGUGCACGUGUCCGCGCCAUUUUUUUUUAAAUUUAUUUACCGAUUAAGUGCACGUGUCCGCGCGAUUUUUUAAAUUUAUUUACCGAUUAAGUGCACGUGUCCGCGGCAUUUUUUUUAAAUUUAUUUAUCGAUUAGCACGUGUCCGCGCCAUUUUUUUUAUUUACCGAUUUAGUGCACGUGUCCGCGCGAUUUUUUAAAUUUAUUCACCGAUUAAGUGCACGUGUCCGCGCCAUUUUUUUAAAAUU
This is a long non-coding RNA of Tribolium castaneum (red flour beetle), 2270 nucleotides long. RefSeq lists it as uncharacterized. The transcript is spliced from 2 exons. Lineage: Eukaryota; Metazoa; Arthropoda; Insecta; Coleoptera; Tenebrionidae. The record is from RefSeq and is a predicted model, not a curated record.